GAUGAACGCUGGCGGCGUGCCUAAUACAUGCAAGUCGAGCGAACGGACGAGAAGCUUGCUUCUCUGAUGUUAGCGGCGGACGGGUGAGUAACACGUGGAUAACCUACCUAUAAGACUGGGAUAACUUCGGGAAACCGGAGCUAAUACCGGAUAAUAUUUUGAACCGCAUGGUUCAAAAGUGAAAGACGGUCUUGCUGUCACUUAUAGAUGGAUCCGCGCUGCAUUAGCUAGUUGGUAAGGUAACGGCUUACCAAGGCAACGAUGCAUAGCCGACCUGAGAGGGUGAUCGGCCACACUGGAACUGAGACACGGUCCAGACUCCUACGGGAGGCAGCAGUAGGGAAUCUUCCGCAAUGGGCGAAAGCCUGACGGAGCAACGCCGCGUGAGUGAUGAAGGUCUUCGGAUCGUAAAACUCUGUUAUUAGGGAAGAACAUAUGUGUAAGUAACUGUGCACAUCUUGACGGUACCUAAUCAGAAAGCCACGGCUAACUACGUGCCAGCAGCCGCGGUAAUACGUAGGUGGCAAGCGUUAUCCGGAAUUAUUGGGCGUAAAGCGCGCGUAGGCGGUUUUUUAAGUCUGAUGUGAAAGCCCACGGCUCAACCGUGGAGGGUCAUUGGAAACUGGAAAACUUGAGUGCAGAAGAGGAAAGUGGAAUUCCAUGUGUAGCGGUGAAAUGCGCAGAGAUAUGGAGGAACACCAGUGGCGAAGGCGACUUUCUGGUCUGUAACUGACGCUGAUGUGCGAAAGCGUGGGGAUCAAACAGGAUUAGAUACCCUGGUAGUCCACGCCGUAAACGAUGAGUGCUAAGUGUUAGGGGGUUUCCGCCCCUUAGUGCUGCAGCUAACGCAUUAAGCACUCCGCCUGGGGAGUACGACCGCAAGGUUGAAACUCAAAGGAAUUGACGGGGACCCGCACAAGCGGUGGAGCAUGUGGUUUAAUUCGAAGCAACGCGAAGAACCUUACCAAAUCUUGACAUCCUUUGACAACUCUAGAGAUAGAGCCUUCCCCUUCGGGGGACAAAGUGACAGGUGGUGCAUGGUUGUCGUCAGCUCGUGUCGUGAGAUGUUGGGUUAAGUCCCGCAACGAGCGCAACCCUUAAGCUUAGUUGCCAUCAUUAAGUUGGGCACUCUAAGUUGACUGCCGGUGACAAACCGGAGGAAGGUGGGGAUGACGUCAAAUCAUCAUGCCCCUUAUGAUUUGGGCUACACACGUGCUACAAUGGACAAUACAAAGGGCAGCGAAACCGCGAGGUCAAGCAAAUCCCAUAAAGUUGUUCUCAGUUCGGAUUGUAGUCUGCAACUCGACUACAUGAAGCUGGAACCGCCAGUAAUCGUAGAUCAGCAUGCUACGGUGAAUACGUUCCCGGGUCU
RNAcentral lists this ribosomal RNA (1372 nucleotides) under uncultured bacterium. Its description in RNAcentral is "bacterial SSU rRNA". It matches the Rfam family "Bacterial small subunit ribosomal RNA", at positions 28 to 1381 of the family's 1533-position model. The record is from RNAcentral.